UUUACCUGCCUGUAGAGGAUCAAGGCAUUCAGUCAAUGCAGGCUGAAAAGUAGCCUGAGGGCUUGCUGUUAGGUGGGGCCAAUCCCUAGGGCAGGUUGCCUGCCCUGGCUGAGCUGGAUUAAAUCUGUGCUGUAGUGGGUGUGGCAGACCCCUGGGCUAACAGCCCAAGGGAUGCACCUCAAUGGCCCCCACCUGUGUCCGUAUUAGCAUGCCUGGACCAGCUCAGAACAACAGCCCCCACCAAUGUCUCAGUCUCUGGAGAGGAUCCUCCUCUCACCAAGAUGCCCCCAGAGCCCACCAGGCUCCAGUUAUCUUCAAUUAUGAAUUUAAAAAAUGUUAUUUCUGUCUUCACUAGACCCAUCAACAAGAGCGAAAGACCAUCUCUAACAUAUGUCAAGAAAUGGGGAGGUUUUCAAGUUACAUAAUUAAAUAUUUUUCAUCAAAUGACAUUCAAACUUGCAGUUGUGAAUAAUGUAUUCAUCAACUACUUCUCUUAAAGGGAAUGCAACUGUUAAUUUGGUUUUAUCAGCAAA
This 533-nucleotide long non-coding RNA is filed under the name Equus caballus (horse). RNAcentral's name for it is "lncRNA (ENSECAG00000049242.1)". The record is from RNAcentral. Lineage: Eukaryota; Metazoa; Chordata; Mammalia; Perissodactyla; Equidae.